AAAUUGGAUUUUUUUUUUUAGUUUACCAGUGGUGGCGGACUUGUUGGACCGUGGGAACACGGCGUCCCUCUUUCAUUCCUUCAACCAGCUUCUUGAAAAGUUCGGCGUAGCGAUGUGUGCGCAUAUCCAAAAACCUGUUGAUAUCCAAGUCUUUGAUAUUGGUUAAAAGUAGCUGUGUUUCUCUUUCUUAUCAGGC
Etheostoma spectabile (orangethroat darter) is the source of this 196-nucleotide long non-coding RNA. RefSeq lists it as uncharacterized. The transcript has 3 exons. Lineage: Eukaryota; Metazoa; Chordata; Actinopteri; Perciformes; Percidae. The record is from RefSeq and is a predicted model, not a curated record.